UGGUAAAUUUCAGUUUGUCCAUGGUAGGCUCG
RNAcentral lists this non-coding RNA (32 nucleotides) under Mus musculus (house mouse). Lineage: Eukaryota; Metazoa; Chordata; Mammalia; Rodentia; Muridae. The record is from RNAcentral.